CCUACGGGAGGCAGCAGUGGGGAAUUUUGGACAAUGGGCGCAAGCCUGAUCCAGCCAUGCCGCGUGAGUGAAGAAGGCCUUCGGGUUGUAAAGCUCUUUCGGCCGGGAAGAAAUCGUGUUCUCUAACAUAGGACAUGGAUGACGGUACCGGACUAAGAAGCACCGGCUAACUACGUGCCAGCAGCCGCGGUAAUA
Molecule: ribosomal RNA, 195 nt
Filed under: uncultured bacterium
Lineage: Bacteria
Description: partial 16S ribosomal RNA
Rfam family: Bacterial small subunit ribosomal RNA
Source: RNAcentral